Molecule: ribosomal RNA, 344 nt
Filed under: uncultured Enterobacteriaceae bacterium
Lineage: Bacteria; Pseudomonadati; Pseudomonadota; Gammaproteobacteria; Enterobacterales; Enterobacteriaceae
Description: bacterial SSU rRNA
Rfam family: Bacterial small subunit ribosomal RNA
Source: RNAcentral
CGCCCUUAGAGUUUGAUCAUGGCUCAGAUUGAACGCUGGCGGCAGGCUUAACACAUGCAAGUCGAACGGUAGAAGAGCUUGCUCUUGACGAGUGGCGGACGGGUGAGUAAUGUAUGGGGAUCUGCCAAAUGGAAGGGGACAACAGUUGGAAACGACUGCUAAUACCGUAUAAAGUCGCGAGACCAAAGUGUUUCGACAUGCCAUUUGAUGAACCCAUAUGGGAUUAGCUAGUAGGUAGGGUAAAGGCCUACCUAGGCGACGAUCUCUAGCUGGUCUGAGAGGAUGACCAGCCACACUGGAACUGAGACACGGUCCAGACUCCUACGGGAGGCAGCAGUGGGGAA